CUACGUGCCAGCAGCCGCGGUAAUACGUAGGGUGCGAGCGUUGUCCGGAAUUACUGGGCGUAAAGGGCUCGUAGGUGGUUUGUCGCGUCGUCUGUGAAAUUCUGGGGCUUAACUCCGGGCGUGCAGGCGAUACGGGCAUAACUUGAGUGCUGUAGGGGUAACUGGAAUUCCUGGUGUAGCGGUGAAAUGCGCAGAUAUCAGGAGGAACACCGAUGGCGAAGGCAGGUUACUGGGCAGUUACUGACGCUGAGGAGCGAAAGCAUGGGUAGCGAACAGGAUUAGAUACCCUGGUAGUCCAUGCCGUAAACGGUGGGCGCUAGGUGUGAGGGUCUUUCUACGACUUUCGUGCCGUAGCUAACGCAUUAAGCGCCCCGCCUGGGGAGUACGGCCGCAAGGCUAAAACUCAAAGGAAUUGACGGGGGCCCGCACAAGCGGCGGAGCAUGUGGAUUAAUUCGAUGCAACGCGAAGAACCUUACCUGGGCUU
Molecule: ribosomal RNA, 485 nt
Filed under: uncultured bacterium
Lineage: Bacteria
Description: bacterial SSU rRNA
Rfam family: Bacterial small subunit ribosomal RNA
Source: RNAcentral